AUUUAUAUAGUAUAAAUAAAUAUUACAUUUAACUUCCAAUUAAAAAAUUUAGUUAAACUAAUAUAAAUA
This 69-nucleotide transfer RNA is filed under the name Pseudomyrmex peperi. Its description in RNAcentral is "tRNA-Gly". Lineage: Eukaryota; Metazoa; Arthropoda; Insecta; Hymenoptera; Formicidae. The record is from RNAcentral.